UUCUAAGGGCGGUGAAGUCAGACCGGAAGGACUGGUGGAGCGCUUAGAAGUGAGAAUGCCGGUAUGAGUAGCGAAAGAAGGGUGAGAAUCCCUUCCACCGAAUAUCUAAGGUUUCCUGAGGAAGGCUCGUCCGCUCAGGGUUAGUCGGGACCUAAGCCGAGGCCGAUAGGCGUAGGCGAUGGACAACAGGUAGAGAUUCCUGUACCAGUGCUAAUUGUUUAACCGAUGGGGUGACACAGAAGGAUAGGGAAUCGCACGAAUGGAAAUGUGCGUCCAAGCAGUGAGUGUGAGAAGUAGGCAAAUCCGCUUCUCGCGAAGCAUGAGCUGUGAUGGGGAAGGA
This 340-nucleotide ribosomal RNA is filed under the name Listeria monocytogenes. RNAcentral's name for it is "partial 23S ribosomal RNA". It matches the Rfam family "Bacterial large subunit ribosomal RNA", at positions 1239 to 1576 of the family's 2925-position model. The record is from RNAcentral. Lineage: Bacteria; Bacillati; Bacillota; Bacilli; Caryophanales; Listeriaceae.